AUAUUGGACAAUGGGCGCAAGCCUGAUCCAGCCAUGCCGCGUGAGUGAAGAAGGCCUUCUGGGUUGUAAACUGCUUUUAUCAGGGAAGAAAACGCUCCUGCGGGAGUAACUGACGGUACCUGAUGAAUAAGCACCGGCUAACUCCGUGCCAGCAGCCGCGGUAAUACGGAGGGUGCAAGCGUUGUCCGGAUUUAUUGGGUUUAAAGGGUGCGUAGGCGGCCCGUUAAGUCAGUGGUGAAAGCCAACAGCUCAACUGUUGAACUGCCAUUGAUACUGACGGGCUUGAGUACAGACGAGGUAGGCGGAAUUGAAGAUGUAGCGGUGAAAUGCAUAGAUAUCUUCAAGAACACCGAUUGCGUAGGCAGCUUACUAGGCUGUAACUGACGCUGAGGCACGAAAGCGUGGGGAGCGAACAGG
Molecule: ribosomal RNA, 417 nt
Filed under: uncultured bacterium
Lineage: Bacteria
Description: bacterial SSU rRNA
Rfam family: Bacterial small subunit ribosomal RNA
Source: RNAcentral